AUCUGCCCCCUGAUAAAUUAUUAAAUGGCCGCAGUAUUUUAACUGUGCAAAGGUAGCAUAAUAAUUAGUUUUUUAAUUGAAGGCUUGUAUGAAUGAUUGGACGAGAUAUAAACUGUCUCAUAAAAAUUUUUUUAAAAUUUAAUUUUUUAGUUAAAAAGCUAAAAUAAAUUUAAAAGACGAGAAGACCCCMUAGAUCUUUAUAUUUUUUUUUAUUAUUAUUUUUUAGUUUUUUUAUAAAUUAAUGAAUAAAAAUAUUUUGUUGGGGUGACAUUGAAAUUUAAUAAACUUUCAAAAUUUAAUGACAUUAAUUUAUGAAUUUAUGAUCCUUUAUUAUUGAUUAAAAAUUUAAGUUACCUUGGGGAUAACAGCGUAAUUAUUUUGGAGAGUUCACAUUGAUAAAAUAGAUUGCGACCUCGAUGU
This 420-nucleotide ribosomal RNA is filed under the name Campsicnemus brevitibia. RNAcentral describes it as "partial 16S ribosomal RNA". The record is from RNAcentral. Lineage: Eukaryota; Metazoa; Arthropoda; Insecta; Diptera; Dolichopodidae.